RNAcentral lists this ribosomal RNA (2211 nucleotides) under Escherichia coli. Its description in RNAcentral is "partial 23S ribosomal RNA". It matches the Rfam family "Bacterial large subunit ribosomal RNA", at positions 1 to 2228 of the family's 2925-position model. The record is from RNAcentral. Lineage: Bacteria; Pseudomonadati; Pseudomonadota; Gammaproteobacteria; Enterobacterales; Enterobacteriaceae.
GGGUUGUGAGGUUAAGCGACUAAGCGUACACGGUGGAUGCCCUGGCAGUCAGAGGCGAUGAAGGACGUGCUAAUCUGCGAUAAGCGUCGGUAAGGUGAUAUGAACCGUUAUAACCGGCGAUUUCCGAAUGGGGAAACCCAGUGUGUUUCGACACACUAUCAUUAACUGAAUCCAUAGGUUAAUGAGGCGAACCGGGGGAACUGAAACAUCUAAGUACCCCGAGGAAAAGAAAUCAACCGAGAUUCCCCCAGUAGCGGCGAGCGAACGGGGAGCAGCCCAGAGCCUGAAUCAGUGUGUGUGUUAGUGGAAGCGUCUGGAAAGGCGCGCGAUACAGGGUGACAGCCCCGUACACAAAAAUGCACAUGCUGUGAGCUCGAUGAGUAGGGCGGGACACGUGGUAUCCUGUCUGAAUAUGGGGGGACCAUCCUCCAAGGCUAAAUACUCCUGACUGACCGAUAGUGAACCAGUACCGUGAGGGAAAGGCGAAAAGAACCCCGGCGAGGGGAGUGAAAAAGAACCUGAAACCGUGUACGUACAAGCAGUGGGAGCACGCUUAGGCGUGUGACUGCGUACCUUUUGUAUAAUGGGUCAGCGACUUAUAUUCUGUAGCAAGGUUAACCGAAUAGGGGAGCCGAAGGGAAACCGAGUCUUAACUGGGCGUUAAGUUGCAGGGUAUAGACCCGAAACCCGGUGAUCUAGCCAUGGGCAGGUUGAAGGUUGGGUAACACUAACUGGAGGACCGAACCGACUAAUGUUGAAAAAUUAGCGGAUGACUUGUGGCUGGGGGUGAAAGGCCAAUCAAACCGGGAGAUAGCUGGUUCUCCCCGAAAGCUAUUUAGGUAGCGCCUCGUGAAUUCAUCUCCGGGGGUAGAGCACUGUUUCGGCAAGGGGGUCAUCCCGACUUACCAACCCGAUGCAAACUGCGAAUACCGGAGAAUGUUAUCACGGGAGACACACGGCGGGUGCUAACGUCCGUCGUGAAGAGGGAAACAACCCAGACCGCCAGCUAAGGUCCCAAAGUCAUGGUUAAGUGGGAAACGAUGUGGGAAGGCCCAGACAGCCAGGAUGUUGGCUUAGAAGCAGCCAUCAUUUAAAGAAAGCGUAAUAGCUCACUGGUCGAGUCGGCCUGCGCGGAAGAUGUAACGGGGCUAAACCAUGCACCGAAGCUGCGGCAGCGACGCUGAUGCGUUGUUGGGUAGGGGAGCGUUCUGUAAGCCUGCGAAGGUGUGCUGUGAGGCAUGCUGGAGGUAUCAGAAGUGCGAAUGCUGACAUAAGUAACGAUAAAGCGGGUGAAAAGCCCGCUCGCCGGAAGACCAAGGGUUCCUGUCCAACGUUAAUCGGGGCAGGGUGAGUCGACCCCUAAGGCGAGGCCGAAAGGCGUAGUCGAUGGGAAACAGGUUAAUAUUCCUGUACUUGGUGUUACUGCGAAGGGGGGACGGAGAAGGCUAUGUUGGCCGGGCGACGGUUGUCCCGGUUUAAGCGUGUAGGCUGGUUUUCCAGGCAAAUCCGGAAAAUCAAGGCUGAGGCGUGAUGACGAGGCACUACGGUGCUGAAGCAACAAAUGCCCUGCUUCCAGGAAAAGCCUCUAAGCAUCAGGUAACAUCAAAUCGUACCCCAAACCGACACAGGUGGUCAGGUAGAGAAUACCAAGGCGCUUGAGAGAACUCGGGUGAAGGAACUAGGCAAAAUGGUGCCGUAACUUCGGGAGAAGGCACGCUGAUAUGUAGGUGAAGUCCCUCGCGGAUGGAGCUGAAAUCAGUCGAAGAUACCAGCUGGCUGCAACUGUUUAUUAAAAACACAGCACUGUGCAAACACGAAAGUGGACGUAUACGGUGUGACGCCUGCCCGGUGCCGGAAGGUUAAUUGAUGGGGUUAGCGCAAGCGAAGCUCUUGAUCGAAGCCCCGGUAAACGGCGGCCGUAACUAUAACGGUCCUAAGGUAGCGAAAUUCCUUGUCGGGUAAGUUCCGACCUGCACGAAUGGCGUAAUGAUGGCCAGGCUGUCUCCACCCGAGACUCAGUGAAAUUGAACUCGCUGUGAAGAUGCAGUGUACCCGCGGCAAGACGGAAAGACCCCGUGAACCUUUACUAUAGCUUGACACUGAACAUUGAGCCUUGAUGUGUAGGAUAGGUGGGAGGCUUUGAAGUGUGGACGCCAGUCUGCAUGGAGCCGACCUUGAAAUACCACCCUUUAAUGUUUGAUGUUCUAACGU